GUGGGGAAUAUUGGUCAAUGGGCGCAAGCCUGAACCAGCCAAGCCGCGUGCAGGAUGACGGCCCUAUGGGUUGUAAACUGCUUUUGUACGGAAAGAAACCCCCGACUUGUCGGGGACUGACGGUACUGUACGAAUAAGCAUCGGCUAACUCCGUGCCAGCAGCCGCGGUAAUACGGAGGAUGCGAGCGUUAUCCGGAUUUAUUAGGUAUAAAGGGUGCGUAGGCGGGUUUGUAAGUCAGUGGUGAAAUACUACAGCUUAACUGUGGAACUGCCAUUGAUACUGCAAGUCUUGAGUACAACUGAGGUAGGCGGAAUGUGUGGUGUAGCGGUGAAAUGCUUAGAUAUCACACAGAACACCGAUUGCGAAGGCAGCUUACUAAACUGUAACUGACGCUGAGGCACGAAAGCAUGGGGAGCAAACAGGAUUAGAAACCCGAGUAGUCC
Molecule: ribosomal RNA, 444 nt
Filed under: uncultured bacterium
Lineage: Bacteria
Description: bacterial SSU rRNA
Rfam family: Bacterial small subunit ribosomal RNA
Source: RNAcentral